Cinara cedri is the source of this 291-nucleotide non-coding RNA. The record is from the annotation of a GenBank genome assembly. NCBI's taxonomy places the organism in Eukaryota, Metazoa, Arthropoda, Insecta, Hemiptera, Aphididae.
AAAUUGUAAAAAAAAAAAUAUGUAAAAUUAAUAAAAAAUGUAAACUUACCGUUUAAUAAUACAAAAAUUAUUAAAUCAAAUGUCCUUAAUGAAAAAUUGUCCAACGAUUACUAAAGUUGUACCGAGAAGGUUCUCGGCAAACACAAUGACAUAUUAACUUACUCAGUCCUAGUAAAAAAAGUCAAUCAAAUAACUACUUUUGAAUUAUUCAUAAAUCUAAUAAAUAUAAUAUAGCUACAGCUACAGCAAAUAGGUAUAGGUAAUAUAAAUAUAUACAUCAAGGUCAAUAAA